GUGCUCACUUCGGCAGCGCAUAUACUAAAAUUGGAACGAUAUAGAGAAGAUUAGCAUGGCCCCUGCGCAAGGAUGACAUACAAAUUCAUGAAGCAUUCCAUAUUUUU
Otolemur garnettii (small-eared galago) is the source of this 107-nucleotide small nuclear RNA. NCBI's taxonomy places the organism in Eukaryota, Metazoa, Chordata, Mammalia, Primates, Galagidae. The record is from Ensembl.